RNAcentral lists this ribosomal RNA (253 nucleotides) under uncultured bacterium. RNAcentral describes it as "partial 16S ribosomal RNA". It matches the Rfam family "Bacterial small subunit ribosomal RNA", at positions 524 to 776 of the family's 1533-position model. The record is from RNAcentral.
UACGUAGGGGGCAAGCGUUAUCCGGAUUUACUGGGUGUAAAGGGAGCGUAGACGGUUAUGCAAGUCUGAAGUGAAAGCCCAAGGCUCAACCAUGGGACUGCUUUGGAAACUGUAAAACUGGAGUGCAGGAGAGGUAAGCGGAAUUCCUAGUGUAGCGGUGAAAUGCGUAGAUAUUAGGAAGAACACCAGUGGCGAAGGCGGCUUACUGGACUGUAACUGACGUUGAGGCUCGAAGGCGUGGGGAGCAAACAGG